AAAGAUCAAAGUGUACAGUUUACAAAGGGGACAACGAGAACACAUGUUGCAUGUUGCUGCUGUUCUUCUGCUCAGCAUUGGCUGCCGCAUUCAUACCCAGGACGAAGCCAUCUCCCCCGGGAAGCUUGAAUAUAAGAACAUCCGAGGAUCUACUGAUGUAAGGACUGUGACCUUCCCUUAACCCUGGAGAGCUGAGGUACUGAAGAGAUUCACAACAUGAUUAGGGCUCCACUAUCCAGGAGCCCUGCUGUCCCAGCUGGUCCCUCCUCAUCUCAAAAAGG
Non-coding RNA from Myodes glareolus (Bank vole), 281 nucleotides. NCBI's taxonomy places the organism in Eukaryota, Metazoa, Chordata, Mammalia, Rodentia, Cricetidae. The record is from RefSeq and is a predicted model, not a curated record.